Long non-coding RNA from Canis lupus familiaris (dog), 1152 nucleotides. RefSeq lists it as uncharacterized. The record is from RefSeq and is a predicted model, not a curated record. The transcript has 3 exons. NCBI's taxonomy places the organism in Eukaryota, Metazoa, Chordata, Mammalia, Carnivora, Canidae.
CUGGGCCUGCCAGGGACAGAGCUUGUGGCCACACCUGACCCCCACAGAGAGGCCCUGGGCUCAGAGGUGCAUAGAAAAGUGGUUCCAUGCAGGAGCUCAGACUCUGAAGCUCUAUCACACAAUAACUAAGAUUCCAUGUGUGUGACUUAUGCCUCAGUUUCCCUGACUGGAAAAUGACUCCUACCAACAGCGUGGUGGACACAUAAAGCCCUUGAAAUACUCUGCUCACAGUGUCUAGCAGGUGGAGAGGAUGGAGGGCUCGCCUCCUGGAGGGCCCCUCAAGGGCAAAGGACUUUGGAACUGGUUCCUUCAAACAGACGGGAAUGAUGGUUGGCUCCACGCCUCCUCCUCCACCUCGUCACCUGCGCCACAGCGGUACCCCCAAGCUCGUCCUCCCUUGAGGUCCUGCCUCACUACGAGAAACUGAAGGAGCCCGAGUCUGAGGGCCUACGUCUACUCUCUCUGUCUUUCCUAAAAGGCAACAAUUCCCUUCAUGACCUGAGCACAGUCUCUCCACCUCCCGCCUCGCCAGCACUACUCCUUCUGGUUCAUUCCCCCCGUUAGCAGACAUCUCCUGGAAGAGCUCGGUCAUGCUUAUUUGAUGGCUCUUCUGUUUCCGCCCGUUCUUGUUCUUCUACCUUCUCCUCUGGGUGAACUGGGUGAUCUUGCACCAGGUUUAAAAAUUCAUGACUCCUGGGGAAGAUGAAAUGAAACAGAGCAGAAAAUCAGAAUCCAAACCCAGUGCUCCUGAUGCGACAAAAGUAUUUUCAGCAGUGACCAGCAAGGAAGUCAGGGUAGGGGUCAAGAGGAGCAAGCAUUCUGGAUACACAGAGAUCUGGGUUCAAAUCUCCAGCCCUUUCUUUCUGAGGGCUGAGCUCUUGGACGCCCUUAUCUUCUUGCAAGCUGUGUGAUGAGGUCACAGUGGUGCGGGCACACAGCAGAAUUCACACAGUGAGGCCAAGGAUUCAGAAGAGACAUGUAAGUGCUUAAACACAGCCGGCACAGAGAACGCACCCAACCUCAUGCUAACCCUCGCGAUGUGUGGAGACCACACACUGACAAGGCAAAGCCUGGGUCAUUCGGUCACCCCAUGAGGAGCUGCCCCAUUCACACUGGACUUGGCCCAAGUGAGAAAUAAACUUUGCUCUGUUA